RNAcentral lists this ribosomal RNA (253 nucleotides) under uncultured bacterium. RNAcentral describes it as "partial 16S ribosomal RNA". It matches the Rfam family "Bacterial small subunit ribosomal RNA", at positions 524 to 776 of the family's 1533-position model. The record is from RNAcentral.
UACGGAGGGUGCGAGCGUUGUUCGGAAUCAUUGGGCGUAAAGGGCGCGUAGGCGGGUUUGUAAGUCAAUUGUGAAAGCCCCGGGCUCAACCCGGGAAUUGCAGUUGAUACUGCUUAUCUUGAGUGCUUGAGAGGGUGGUGGAAUUCCUGGUGUAGAGGUGAAAUUCGUAGAUAUCAGGAGGAACACCGGAGGCGAAGGCGGCCACCUGGCGAGACACUGACGCUGAGGCGCGAAAGCAUGGGUAGCAAACAGG